Molecule: non-coding RNA, 2055 nt
Organism: Paramisgurnus dabryanus
Lineage: Eukaryota; Metazoa; Chordata; Actinopteri; Cypriniformes; Cobitidae
Source: RefSeq, a predicted model, not a curated record
GCCUGCUUACACAUUGUCUGUACUGUUUUAGCAGUGAAAAAGAAUACCCAGAGACAAGGCACGGGUGGUGGGUCACCAAAAGCUGACCUCAUCCCAGCAGAGGCCAGCUUUGGAGCUAAAUAAAGGCAGGCCUGUUGGAGGGAAUCCCUGGGGGAAAAAAGACAAGCAUAGGUCCCUCACAAGAUGCCACCCGCUUCAUACAAGUGUCUGGCAGCACUGUGUUACUGUUAAAGCCACCAGCACGAGCACCUGACGAUGCUGAUCCAGUGAGUACUCCAUCAAAGGCACACUGUAGGCCUGGCAUGUCUUGUCUACUAGCUUCAAUAUGAAUCCGAUUAAAUGUGAUGGGGUCAAGGCCCCAUUUCAUCAGCACAUAACGGCGAUGAUGAUGAGGAGACCAUCUCUCUGGAUUCCAAAAGGCAUAAGGACCCAGAGUCAUUGGUGCACUGGACUGCACAAACAUAAGGAUAAAAGCCCCCUCAUGUGCCCAUGAGGCAGAUUUUGUAAAUAUGAAAUCUUUUUGAUCUUUUCCAUUGAACACUGGCAAAAUGGCCUGGCUCAGUCCAUGACUCCAGAAUCUUUUGGACCUCUGAAAUCUAUCAGCGCCUAUCACAAGGUGAAUUCUCUGGUGUGUUGCUGGUAGACAGGGGGUAAGGCUGCCAGCCGUUUUUCCUGACACCUUUCACAGACCCCCAGGAAGCAGAGCAGGCCUACAACUAUGCCCAUGCUUAUAAUGUUAUAAGCAGAGUUGAAAUAACCUUUGGCCUCCUGAAGGCACGCUCUCACUGCCUUCACAAAUUAAGGGUCAGCCCUGUGAGGGCAUGUGACAUUACUGUGGCUGGUGGUGUCCUCCACAAUGUGGCCUGCCUGAGGAAGGAGAGGGCACCCAGAGGGCACCCAGAGUGCCACCAGCCAUGGAAUGGGACAAUCCGGAAAUCUUCCCUGAUGACAACAGUGGUUGGCUGCUGAGGGACCAAUAUGUGUUGAAUUAUUUUAGUCAGUAUGUGUGCUUUUCACAUUUUUUUGAUGUUUGUGCUGUAUACUGUGUGUAUACUGUUUGUAAUAAGCUUGCAGGGAGGCUACUGCAUCCAUUAAUUGUCUUGUUUUCAGUUGUCUGAAAUUGUCUGUUCAGUUAAUGUGUAUGAAUUUGUCCUGCAUUUAUUUCAGUGUGCAGACAUGCAGGGUGUGUUAUAUACAGACCUUUGAAUGUGUAUUUAUCCUUUGGUUGUAUAAUAUGCUUUGAUUCUGUGCUUUCCAUCUUGUAGAGUCACUGUGUGACUUCAGUUUCGAAAGGAGCUGAUGGUUUACCUGCUUUGGUUUGUCCUUAUUCAAUAAAGAAACAUAAUGUUACACUUUGUGCUUUUAUAUUUAUAUGAAAUGUGUAUGGUAUAAGGGCCACACCGAGGAAAGGAGAAAGUCAUACAUUUGAGGCUGGUUCUUUCUGUGGAAAGAUGCAUAUUGUUUUUACAGUCCUGAUACUUAUAACAAUUUGAUUAAGUAUUUCCUUGUUUCUGAAACCAUACUGAAGUACAAUUCCACGAAAUGCCCCACAACUGUUAUUGUAACAACUGUCCUCCUCUAAAACAAGAAGUUACAAUAUUACGACUUCAUUCUCUGUCUGUUUUUUUUUUUCUGUGGCCCUAAUGUUCUAUCAUUUUAUAUAUAGCCUUAUAGUCUUUAGGAAACUGUAAAUUAUCUAAUGAUAGCAACAUCAUCUAAAAAUCAUGAUUUAUCCAAAAUUAUUAAAAUUAAUGAUCACAAACAUUUAAUAAAAUUACAGUGGGUCUACAAUGUAUAUUGGGAAGUGAAAUAACUAUUGGUUUCCAUUUGUGGUGAUUGCUGACUGACAUAAGGCAUGAGAUUAAAUAGAUCCUGGAAUUUAGCCUGGUCUGGAGCAGGCUAGCUCCACAGAAUAGAUCUCCAUGGAAAUUUAUACCAUAACAUAUCCUCCUGCCCCCUAUCCAACUUUAGUGCAACCGGAUCACGGAUCAAUUGAGCCAGGAUCACCAAGAUAUCCCGGCUUAAUCCCUUAUCCUAGUUUUGUGCAAUAGGCCC